Molecule: long non-coding RNA, 645 nt
Filed under: Setaria viridis
Lineage: Eukaryota; Viridiplantae; Streptophyta; Magnoliopsida; Poales; Poaceae
Description: long non-coding RNA (SVIR_LNC011378)
Source: RNAcentral
GGAAGUAUAUAUCUGAGGAGAAAAAAAUAAGAUGUUAUUAUAUUUGUCCCAAUUGGUUUUGGAUGGUGCGCGUUGUGUCAACUGGUGGAAGAAAGUUGGUCUGACGAGAAAGAUUAUUAUAUUCCUUUCCUUUGCCUCCUUUUCUCAGACAGAAAGCUCUUUUGCAAAUUUGCGUGGUGGGAGUCAAGAUAAAAUUCCCUAUUUUAUUUUCGUGGCCGAAUUCUCUGCUGCUGGCCAUGAAAAGGAAAUGGAAAACGAAUAAAAGGGGUACCUGGCCAAGAUGAGCAUAUAUUGAGGUUUUGACGGCUCUUCCAGAUCGACGUGCUGCUUUGCAUCUGAUGCUAAAGUUUAAGGUUCAAAUUGCCUUCUUUCAUGUUCCGUAUGUGUUUCUCCAAGCUCUCGUUUUGGCUAACCCGUAAUCGAGGAGAUGGAAACGUCCAGGGUUUUGAAGCAUCUGUAACAACCAAGUGGAGUCCGGCCGUGACGAGAGAUGGAUCAAAAGUUCAAAACCCAACUGUGCACAGUAAUUAAUAUUCCCUCGUUUUCAUAAUGUUCGUAUGUACUUUAGCUCUCAUGCGUGACAAUGAACGGUCGUUAUUUAACUUAUAUAGUUUGUGUGAUCACCUUUAGCUUUACUUAUUACUC